Molecule: long non-coding RNA, 2180 nt
Organism: Amphiprion ocellaris (clown anemonefish)
Lineage: Eukaryota; Metazoa; Chordata; Actinopteri; Pomacentridae
Exons: 3
Source: RefSeq, a predicted model, not a curated record
GCGCACUAGGGUAUCUAGUGUAUGUAUAUCUAUGGUCGGCACGUCUGGUAGCAUCUCUGGCUGCUGUUGAUCUUGUUUUUGGAGUAAAACACGGUGGAAGCUGAAUUAGUGAGGAUGACUCCUGCUCCUGUCAUCUCUAAGCUCCUCACACAUCUUUACCUGCACAUGAGGAAAUCACUCCUGUAGAAUGCAGAUGUUCAGAGGGAGAUGAUGCCACAUCUGGUCCAGCUGAUGGAAGGUCUUGAAGUUCUCUGACUGGCCUCUACUGAAGAUGGUCGUCUCACUGGAUUUAAGGUUCAGAUGCUCAGUAACAAACUCCACCAAUGAGCCAACAGGGAAGCUGUAGGUUUAUUAAAUGUUGCUAUGAAGGUAUCGCUGUUUUUCUUUGUGAAUGCAAUGUGCUCCAACUGAAACUUGAAUUAGAACUUAGAAGUAAAUCCUUCCAUCUGAAAACUGUGAUGGUGUUGGAUUGUCAGACCGUAAUGUUGCAGCUCAAAGCAGCUUUUCUAUCUCAGUUCAUUCUGACAUUCAGCUAUGAAUCAACACAGCAGAUGGUGAUCCAUGCUGUGGAAGUCUCACAUCUCCUGAUUUAAUGGAGCUGCUUUGCACUUUUUACACUGUUUAUUCACAAACACUUUAUUUAAUAAAAGUCCCAUCUAGUUUUUAUGAGGAAUGUGAUGUUUUCAUUUCUCUGUGAAUAACUGCAGUCUAAUGGAACAGCUGGAGUUGUAACAUCUGUCCUGAUAUUGAUCAUGAAGUAUUGAUCAGAAUACUUAUGGUCAGCAGUCAUCCCUGAAGUUUUACAUUAAAAUCUUUACUUGUGUUGUGAACUUUGGUAAGAAGCAGAAACGUUAGCGUUGCCAUGGAUACAUGAGUGUUAAAUUCUGUCCAUGUUUCCAUUUUGGGAAAUGCAGUCCAGUUCCAGAAUGUGGAGGAAUUUAGUCUCACAAUCACAGACAACAAAUAUUAUCUGAAAGUCGGGUUAUUGUUGUUUAUCAGCACAAUACAAAAAGAUUCAUGUUAGAAAUAUUCCAGUUAAGACUCCAGAAUAUCAUGAUUUAUGUAAAUUUACCUCAAUAAUAUGAAUGUUCAGGUUAAGAUUGUGCAGUGAUAUUUAUUAUGUAAGUUUAGCUGAUUAAAGUUUAUGACUCUGCACCACAAUAUUAUUUAUUAUUUAGAUUUACAUCGUUAUUAUAAUAUUUAGGGUCAGACUCUACAGUAUUGAGAUUAAGAAAUCAAAUAUUCUAUAAAAUGUAAAUACACUGAACUUAUUUGGAUAUAUUUAAGUGAGACUCUACAAUAUUAUUUAUGACACAAAUCUGUCUAAAUCAAAAUUUUAAUCAUUUUUACUCCAAACAUUUACUGGACUGAUUUAAAUAUUAAAAUCACUCCUUUCUAAUCCUCUGCUGUACUUUCAAACCUGAGGCCUUAAAUAGAAACACACAAGUAUCUGAUUGAAGGAACUUCUGCAGAGUCCUGGUUCCAGAACAUGAUGAUAGAAUUAUAGACAAACUUUAACAAAAGCUGCCUGAGAGUUUACAGGUUUUUAUGUUGGAUUUCUUCAGUAAUUUAAUGAGUUAUCAGCAAAAAUCAAGUGUUCAUUUGAUGAACUUCAUUUCCUAAAACAUACAGAAUUGGAGCUCAUAUCUUUGGCAGCUGUAAAGUUUCUGCUUCUUCAAAGUUCACAACACAAUGAAUGAAUUCCUAAAACACUCUCAAUGCUGGAGAGCGUUUGAUGCUGAAGCAGUGACCAGUUUUUCUGUUUCUUCUCUGGAGAUGCACAAUGAGGGACGUCUGCAGAGACUGAGAAAGAGUCUCACCACAUCCUUACAUGAGGAAAAAGACUUUAUUGAAGACUACAAUGAGAAAAACUAUCAGACAGCAGACGGCAUGCAUUCAAGGUGAGCUCUGAACAUUUGAUCUGGAACAGGAAUUCAAUAAUGGCAGCAUGAGCUUCAUUUCAGUCUGUAGCUGCUGAAUUCAUGGAUGAAUCAUCUGGCACUAGAGAGGAAGACCAUCAAACAUCCACGUCAGCUGAUGGAGGUCCAAGAGUCUCACCCAACAAACAACCUACAGAGUGAAGACCUUGAAUCUGAUUGGAUGGCCUCCUAUUCAGCCACGUGUGAACAAAUGCCUCUAAGCUGAUUUGUUUUCUAAAAUAAAUCUGGUUUGAGUCCUAA